CCUACGUGCACCGCCUCACGCCCGGGCUCCCCGGAGCGCCUUUGCGGGCAGUGCGCCCCUCUUCCCUCUCCCCGCGUUCCAGAAGCUUCCACGGCGCGCCCUGCCCAGCCCUCCUCUACUGAACCGGGCCCUCCCGGAGGUGAGUGGUGACCGCCGGGGCUUCAGCCUGCUUGGCUGAGUAGGCUCUGGUCACACUCCCAGCCACAGUGAUGGGGAUCCAUCCCCGGGACACUGUUGCUUCUGAGCUUAGCCACCCCCAUGGCAGAGAAGACCAUGCUUUUGGUUUUAUUCUGUAAACAGAAACUUUUCAUUGUGCUAUUGAACAUUUCUCCGGCUGCUGAUGCCAGGAGAGCCGUAGACUCUUUCCAGUAAUGAAGCUUGUAAAUCCGGCUGAUUCCAAGUCCAGCAACCUGAGACUGACUCUGCCUUAACAUGAUCUUCCUGUCCGGCACAUGGAAAAUUACUUCUGAGGAUGUGGGGGAGCCAUUCCUGGGCUCCUGGGAGCCGCCUCCACUACUUAGGGUUUUGAUAAAAGAAAGAAUCAGAUGGACCACAUUCAAGAAUCUCCUACUUAAAUCUCCCUGAAGUAAGAGGAAGGAAAUACUCAUUCUAACGCAAAAGUUUUGAAGUAAAAAAUUACUCAGUUGUAAAAUUAGCAUCAAAUCAAGAGGAACAGUAGCUAGCAUAUUAAAAACAGGAAAAUGGGAGAAAGUUCAGAGAUGAGUAGACAUAAUCAAGAGAUGGAAAGUGUGACUGGAGAAGAAUAAGGAAGAAUAAAGUGAGGCUUAGAUCGUCUGAAGAAGGAGCAGCUGAGGGAUGGAGCCCUUUACAGUGUGGGUGGCAGGUGCAGCGUCAUGAAUCCCGGCAGAGCCAAGCAGAACCAGCCCUCAGAAGAAUGGCUAGUCUUUGAGGCUUUUCACAGAGUCACUAUUGGAAGAUCACAGGUGUCAGCAGAGCAGGAAAGGCAAGAACUGUUGCUGUUUUCACUGCUGAACCAAAAUGGGAGCCAUCUUUACCCGAGGCUUGAGGAGAGCUGGCAGUGGCCAUGCUGCUGUUGCAUUCCAGACCCUGCCCGAUUCCAAGAGGAACAGACUCUCUCCCUUCAAAUGUCUACACACUACUGUUUUUUUUUUUUUUCAGAUCUAUAGCGCAUCUCAAUAAAAGUUUGUUAGAAAAAAUACUAUUUGAGUACUGGAUGUAGAUAUUCUAAAGGCAUUUCAAUAUCUUAAAAACAUAUUAAAAUAUAUUAAAUAUAUAUUAAAUAUUAAAUUUAACAUAAAUAUAAUUUAAAUAUUAAAUUAUAUAUAUAAAUAUAUAUUAAAAUAUAUUAAAAACAACUUGAAUAACUAUCUAGACACCUUGUUUAUAGUU
Molecule: non-coding RNA, 1371 nt
Organism: Peromyscus maniculatus bairdii (prairie deer mouse)
Lineage: Eukaryota; Metazoa; Chordata; Mammalia; Rodentia; Cricetidae
Source: RefSeq, a predicted model, not a curated record